This 203-nucleotide ribosomal RNA is filed under the name uncultured bacterium. Its description in RNAcentral is "partial 16S ribosomal RNA". It matches the Rfam family "Bacterial small subunit ribosomal RNA", at positions 294 to 519 of the family's 1533-position model. The record is from RNAcentral.
GAGAGGGUGAACGGCCACAUUGGGACUGAGACACGGCCCAAACUCCUACGGGAGGCAGCAGUGGGGAAUAUUGCACAAUGGGGGAAACCCUGAUGCAGCGACGCCGCGUGAGCGAGAAGUUUUCGGUAUGUAAAGCUCUUCAGCAGGAAGAAAAUGACGGUACCUGACUAAAAGCCCCGGCUAACUACGUGCCAGCAGCCGCG